This 2132-nucleotide ribosomal RNA is filed under the name Escherichia coli. RNAcentral describes it as "partial 23S ribosomal RNA". It matches the Rfam family "Bacterial large subunit ribosomal RNA", at positions 418 to 2535 of the family's 2925-position model. The record is from RNAcentral. Lineage: Bacteria; Pseudomonadati; Pseudomonadota; Gammaproteobacteria; Enterobacterales; Enterobacteriaceae.
CGGGACACGUGGUAUCCUGUCUGAAUAUGGGGGGACCAUCCUCCAAGGCUAAAUACUCCUGACUGACCGAUAGUGAACCAGUACCGUGAGGGAAAGGCGAAAAGAACCCCGGCGAGGGGAGUGAAAAAGAACCUGAAACCGUGUACGUACAAGCAGUGGGAGCACGCUUAGGCGUGUGACUGCGUACCUUUUGUAUAAUGGGUCAGCGACUUAUAUUCUGUAGCAAGGUUAACCGAAUAGGGGAGCCGAAGGGAAACCGAGUCUUAACUGGGCGUUAAGUUGCAGGGUAUAGACCCGAAACCCGGUGAUCUAGCCAUGGGCAGGUUGAAGGUUGGGUAACACUAACUGGAGGACCGAACCGACUAAUGUUGAAAAAUUAGCGGAUGACUUGUGGCUGGGGGUGAAAGGCCAAUCAAACCGGGAGAUAGCUGGUUCUCCCCGAAAGCUAUUUAGGUAGCGCCUCGUGAAUUCAUCUCCGGGGGUAGAGCACUGUUUCGGCAAGGGGGUCAUCCCGACUUACCAACCCGAUGCAAACUGCGAAUACCGGAGAAUGUUAUCACGGGAGACACACGGCGGGUGCUAACGUCCGUCGUGAAGAGGGAAACAACCCAGACCGCCAGCUAAGGUCCCAAAGUCAUGGUUAAGUGGGAAACGAUGUGGGAAGGCCCAGACAGCCAGGAUGUUGGCUUAGAAGCAGCCAUCAUUUAAAGAAAGCGUAAUAGCUCACUGGUCGAGUCGGCCUGCGCGGAAGAUGUAACGGGGCUAAACCAUGCACCGAAGCUGCGGCAGCGACGCUGAUGCGUUGUUGGGUAGGGGAGCGUUCUGUAAGCCUGUGAAGGUGUGCUGUGAGGCAUGCUGGAGGUAUCAGAAGUGCGAAUGCUGACAUAAGUAACGAUAAAGCGGGUGAAAAGCCCGCUCGCCGGAAGACCAAGGGUUCCUGUCCAACGUUAAUCGGGGCAGGGUGAGUCGACCCCUAAGGCGAGGCCGAAAGGCGUAGUCGAUGGGAAACAGGUUAAUAUUCCUGUACUUGGUGUUACUGCGAAGGGGGGACGGAGAAGGCUAUGUUGGCCGGGCGACGGUUGUCCCGGUUUAAGCGUGUAGGCUGGUUUUCCAGGCAAAUCCGGAAAAUCAAGGCUGAGGCGUGAUGACGAGGCACUACGGUGCUGAAGCAACAAAUGCCCUGCUUCCAGGAAAAGCCUCUAAGCAUCAGGUAACAUCAAAUCGUACCCCAAACCGACACAGGUGGUCAGGUAGAGAAUACCAAGGCGCUUGAGAGAACUCGGGUGAAGGAACUAGGCAAAAUGGUGCCGUAACUUCGGGAGAAGGCACGCUGAUAUGUAGGUGAAGCGACUUGCUCGUGGAGCUGAAAUCAGUCGAAGAUACCAGCUGGCUGCAACUGUUUAUUAAAAACACAGCACUGUGCAAACACGAAAGUGGACGUAUACGGUGUGACGCCUGCCCGGUGCCGGAAGGUUAAUUGAUGGGGUCAGCGCAAGCGAAGCUCUUGAUCGAAGCCCCGGUAAACGGCGGCCGUAACUAUAACGGUCCUAAGGUAGCGAAAUUCCUUGUCGGGUAAGUUCCGACCUGCACGAAUGGCGUAAUGAUGGCCAGGCUGUCUCCACCCGAGACUCAGUGAAAUUGAACUCGCUGUGAAGAUGCAGUGUACCCGCGGCAAGACGGAAAGACCCCGUGAACCUUUACUAUAGCUUGACACUGAACAUUGAGCCUUGAUGUGUAGGAUAGGUGGGAGGCUUUGAAGUGUGGACGCCAGUCUGCAUGGAGCCGGCCUUGAAAUACCACCCUUUAAUGUUUGAUGUUCUAACGUUGACCCGUGAUCCGGGUUGCGGACAGUGUCUGGUGGGUAGUUUGACUGGGGCGGUCUCCUCCUAAAGAGUAACGGAGGAGCACGAAGGUUGGCUAAUCCUGGUCGGACAUCAGGAGGUUAGUGCAAUGGCAUAAGCCAGCUUGACUGCGAGCGUGACGGCGCGAGCAGGUGCGAAAGCAGGUCAUAGUGAUCCGGUGGUUCUGAAUGGAAGGGCCAUCGCUCAACGGAUAAAAGGUACUCCGGGGAUAACAGGCUGAUACCGCCCAAGAGUUCAUAUCGACGGCGGUGUUUGGCACCUCGAUGUCGG